GGUUAAGCGACUAAGCGUACACGGUGGAUGCCCCGGCAGUCAGAGGCGAUGAAGGACGUGCUAAUCUGCGAUAAGCGUCGGUAAGGUGAUAUGAACCGUUAUAACCGGCGAUUUCCGAAUGGGGAAACCCAGUGUGUUUCGACACACUAUCAUUAACUGAAUCCAUAGGUUAAUGAGGCGAACCGGGGGAACUGAAACAUCUAAGUACCCCGAGGAAAAGAAAUCAACCGAGAUUCCCCCAGUAGCGGCGAGCGAACGGGGAGCAGCCCAGAGCCUGAAUCAGUGUGUGUGUUAGUGGAAGCGUCUGGAAAGGCGCGCGAUACAGGGUGACAGCCCCGUACACAAAAAUGCACAUGCUGUGAGCUCGAUGAGUAGGGCGGGACACGUGGUAUCCUGUCUGAAUAUGGGGGACCAUCCUCCAAGGCUAAAUACUCCUGACUGACCGAUAGUGAACCAGUACCGUGAGGGAAAGGCGAAAAGAACCCCGGCGAGGGGAGUGAAAAAGAACCUGAAACCGUGUACGUACAAGCAGUGGGAGCACGCUUCGGCGUGUGACUGCGUACCUUUUGUAUAAUGGGUCAGCGACUUAUAUUCUGUAGCAAGGUUAACCGAAUAGGGGAGCCGAAGGGAAACCGAGUCUUAACUGGGCGUUAAGUUGCAGGGUAUAGACCCGAAACCCGGUGAUCUAGCCAUGGGCAGGUUGAAGGUUGGGUAACACUAACUGGAGGACCGAACCGACUAAUGUUGAAAAAUUAGCGGAUGACUUGUGGCUGGGGGUGAAAGGCCAAUCAAACCGGGAGAUAGCUGGUUCUCCCCGAAAGCUAUUUAGGUAGCGCCUCGUGAAUUCAUCUCCGGGGGUAGAGCACUGUUUCGGCAAGGGGGUCAUCCCGACUUACCAACCCGAUGCAAACUGCGAAUACCGGAGAAUGUUAUCACGGGAGACACACGGCGGGUGCUAACGUCCGUCGUGAAGAGGGAAACAACCCAGACCGCCAGCUAAGGUCCCAAAGUCAUGGUUAAGUGGGAAACGAUGUGGGAAGGCCCAGACAGCCAGGAUGUUGGCUUAGAAGCAGCCAUCAUUUAAAGAAAGCGUAAUAGCUCACUGGUCGAGUCGGCCUGCGCGGAAGAUGUAACGGGGCUAAACCAUGCACCGAAGCUGCGGCAGCGACGCUGAUGCGUUGUUGGGUAGGGGAGCGUUCUGUAAGCCUGCGAAGGUGUGCUGUGAGGCAUGCUGGAGGUAUCAGAAGUGCGAAUGCUGACAUAAGUAACGAUAAAGCGGGUGAAAAGCCCGCUCGCCGGAAGACCAAGGGUUCCUGUCCAACGUUAAUCGGGGCAGGGUGAGUCGACCCCUAAGGCGAGGCCGAAAGGCGUAGUCGAUGGGAAACAGGUUAAUAUUCCUGUACUUGGUGUUACUGCGAAGGGGGACGGAGAAGGCUAUGUUGGCCGGGCGACGGUUGUCCCGGUUUAAGCGUGUAGGCUGGUUUUCCGGGCAAAUCCGGAAAAUCGAGGCUGAGGCGUGAUGACGAGGCACUACGGUGCUGAAGCAACAAAUGCCCUGCUUCCGGGAAAAGCCUCUAAGCAUCAGGUAACAUCAAAUCGUACCCCAAACCGACACAGGUGGUCAGGUAGAGAAUACCAAGGCGCUUGAGAGAACUCGGGUGAAGGAACUAGGCAAAAUGGUGCCGUAACUUCGGGAGAAGGCACGCUGAUAUGUAGGUGAAGCGACUUGCUCGUGGAGCUGAAAUCAGUCGAAGAUACCAGCUGGCUGCAACUGUUUAUUAAAAACACAGCACUGUGCAAACACGAAAGUGGACGUAUACGGUGUGACGCCUGCCCGGUGCCGGAAGGUUAAUUGAUGGGGUCAGCGCAAGCGAAGCUCUUGAUCGAAGCCCCGGUAAACGGCGGCCGUAACUAUAACGGUCCUAAGGUAGCGAAAUUCCUUGUCGGGUAAGUUCCGACCUGCACGAAUGGCGUAAUGAUGGCCGUGCUGUCUCCACCCGAGACUCAGUGAAAUUGAACUCGCUGUGAAGAUGCAGUGUACCCGCGGCAAGACGGAAAGACCCCGUGAACCUUUACUAUAGCUUGACACUGAACAUUGAGCCUUGAUGUGUAGGAUAGGUGGGAGGCUUUGAAGUGUGGACGCCAGUCUGCAUGGAGCCGACCUUGAAAUACCACCCUUUAAUGUUUGAUGUUCUAACGUUGACCCGUAAUCCGGGUUGCGGACAGUGUCUGGUGGGUAGUUUGACUGGGGCGGUCUCCUCCUAAAGAGUAACGGAGGAGCACGAAGGUUGGCUAAUCCUGGUCGGACAUCAGGAGGUUAGUGCAAUGGCAUAAGCCAGCUUGACUGCGAGCGUGACGGCGCGAGCAGGUGCGAAAGCAGGUCAUAGUGAUCCGGUGGUUCUGAAUGGAAGGGCCAUCGCUCAACGGAUAAAAGGUACUCCGGGGAUAACAGGCUGAUACCGCCCAAGAGUUCAUAUCGACGGCGGUGUUUGGCACCUCGAUGUCGGCUCAUCACAUCCUGGGGCUGAAGUAGGUCCCAAGGGUAUGGCUGUUCGCCAUUUAAAGUGGUACGCGAGCUGGGUUUAGAACGUCGUGAGACAGUUCGGUCCCUAUCUGCCGUGGGCGCUGGAGAACUGAGGGGGCUGCUCCUAGUACGAGAGGACCGGAGUGGACGCAUCACUGGUGUUCGGGUUGUCAUGCCAAUGGCACUGCCCGGUAGCUAAAUGCGGAAGAGAUAAGUGCUGAAAGCAUCUAAGCACGAAACUUGCCCCGAGAUGAGUUCUCCCUGACUCCUUGAGAGUCCUGAAGGAACGUUGAAGACGACGACGUUGAUAGGCCGGGUGUGUAAGCGCAGCGAUGCGUUGAGCUAACCGGUACUAAUGAACCGUGAGGCUUAACCUU
This 2901-nucleotide ribosomal RNA is filed under the name Escherichia coli. RNAcentral's name for it is "23S ribosomal RNA". It matches the Rfam family "Bacterial large subunit ribosomal RNA". The record is from RNAcentral. Lineage: Bacteria; Pseudomonadati; Pseudomonadota; Gammaproteobacteria; Enterobacterales; Enterobacteriaceae.